CCUUGGCAUGUGUUUCACGACUUUCCAGUGGGCACGUGUGCGUGGCAAUGAGGACCAGAAAGAAAAGAUGGAGAGACCUGAUCCCUGCCAGCAAGGUGUACGCAGUGUCGUGGACAGAGGAGCAAGUUCUCAACAAAUAGAAAAUGAGAGUCUCUUGCUGUUAGGAUUCAGCUGGGAACGUGUUGCUCAGCAGCUCUGCACUCCUCUCACAGAACCUAGUAGAACAAAAAAAAAACAAACAAAAAAAACCUAGUAGAACAUGUUUAAAACAAAAUUAACCUGGCUUUUGUUGUUGUGAUUUUCUUGGUUAGAAAGGGGCCAGAGGUCAUUAAAAGCCAUCCUAUAUAGCACCGAAAGCAGAACUACAGGCUCAGGAAAAAGAACAUAAUCAUCUGUGGCUAUUAUGGAUGGCUUACUGUGGACCAGCCAUGGCCCUGAGCCUGGUGAAAACAGGGAGGAGACACCCUAGUGGCAGCUGUUCAGGAAGGAGGGACGUGCAAUGUUGCAGCUCUGGGGAGAUAAACAGCAGCUCCUGCCCUUCGCUGGAGAAACGUAUGCUGUAAGCCAUUUAUAUGUAGGUCGGGAAAAUAAACAUCUGGCAAAUCUAUUUCCUCUGAUAUCACAAGUAUCUCAAACACCCAAGCCUGUGCUUAAUCCAAUUUCCUUCAGGCCAAGCUGUAUUUUCUACCUUCAGUUUCCAUGAAAUUCUCCUACAUCCUUUCCCUAAGCCGCCUUUACGUCUUUUGAGUGGGUUUCUGUUUCUUGUAAUCAAUCCCUGACUCUCAUCAAAGGGCAAGGCUUGGCCCAUCCCCUCAUGGAGACUUUUACACGCUGGAACAAAUGAAUUCACAUCAACCAUGGUGCCAACUGCACGCUCUUGUCAAGGAAAGAGGCAGAAGACUUUGGACAAAUUACCAAACGUAACCCAGCCUUGGUUUCCUCACCUAUAAUAUGGGAUUGAGAAUAUCUCCCUGGCAGGGUAGUUAUAGGUGUUUGAGCCAGUGGCUGUGAGGCUGGCACGGCCUGUGGCCCUGCGUGGGAAGCGGGGGCUGGGAGGAAAUCCUGGGUGAAAGUACGAGUGCAGGCUCAGAGCAGAGGUCCCUGAGACUCUCCUGCACUUGCAACAUGGGAGGCAUCUUGAAAUACAGACGUCAUGCCCUCUCCUGAAACCACUAAAUCUGUCUUUGAGGGACUAGUUAGGAGUGUGACCUGAGUGAGCCCCGCCUGGAUUACGUCACUUAGCUAAUCUAAGAACAGUCUCGCUGGAGUUCAAGAAUUAGAACUCCAGAAAAGAAAAAGAAUCAAGGUUUGUGGGUGAAGAUAGCAGGCCCGAGGGAUAGCCAGCUGGUCAGAAUCAGUGGGCCAAAUACUGAAGUAUCCAUGCUAUUUAUUUUUGUUGCUUAGAUUUUGGGCUCCACUGUUUUGUGCUUCUGCUCUAUUCGUUCAAGCUUUAUGCUCUCGUUUGUUUUCAAAAAUACGUGCACUAGGGCGCUUGGGUAGCUCAGCUGGUUAGGCAUCUGACCCACGAUUUCAGCUCAGGUUAGGAUCUCAGGAUUGUGAAAUUGAGCCCCCUGUUAGGCUCUGGGAUGGGCGCGGAACCUGCUUAGGAUUCUCUCUCCCCUUUGCCCUUCCACCCCCGCUCUAAAACAAAAACCAAAACAACAAACACCCCAUGCACUUAAAAAAAAAAAAAAUUUUUUAUUAAGCUCUAGGCUCAAUGUGGGGCUUGAACUCAGGACCCUGAUAUCAAGAGUCAUAUACUCUUCUGACUGAGCCCACCAGGUAGCGUCAAAAUACAUACACUUUUGAGUAAGUUUAGGGCAACUGAAUGGUAAAACUCACUAGUCCAAUGUAGGUAAAAUAUGCAUGUUAGGAGAUCAUAGUUAAAAGAAAAAUAAGCAAGCAAAACUUGGAAUUUUCCCUGAAUAUAUCAACAUUUUACCUGAACUAUCAAAAUAUUCAGAUGAAAAUGAAGACCAGUUAACAAUGUUGUGAUGAGCACUGGGGGUAGCAAGUGAUGACUCACUAAAUACUACAUCCGAAAGCAGUUUUACCCCAUAUGUUAACUAUUUAGAAUUUAAAUAAAACCUUGAAACAAACAACCCCCCCCAACAUUGUGAUGAUCAUAAAGUGUGUGAGUAGCUGAUACCAACUUCUCUGUUGCAGGGAGCGUCUCUGGAAGGCUUGUUACAGCCCAGGCACUGCUCUGAGAGCCUCUUACCGUGACCCCCAUCUUGCGUGUUAGGAAACUGUAGCGUAGAAAGGUGAAGUAAUCGUCCUGAGGUCACACAGCUGAUGAGUGACACAGGUCAGAUGUGCUUGCUGUGCUCCUUGUCACUGUGCUGAGUGCCACUCCCCCUUAGUACAAAAGCUACAAAGGGCAGGUCAGCAGUAGAAUCUCCAUCCAGGUGUGGGAGGCCGUGGUAGGUAGGUCACAGGAACCCGUGCUUCGGGUGUGACCAAGUACGUAUGGUCACAGCAGGCUGCGUCAUUAUGAGGAUGGUUACUGAAGUUAAAUAGUGUGUGUCGGUUCAGGAGAACACUGACACACAACUGGACAGUGAAACCACGCAGAGGGAAGCGCUGUUGCAAACACCAGCAGUUGGGCUGAGUGUGUGUAGUGCGUGAAGGAAAGGACUCCCCACCCACGGGGAGGAGAGGAUUGCCAGCUAGCUCCACAGCUGAAGUGAUCAACAAGGAAUAGAGCCCUUGAUUUUUAGCCGGGUGUAUCACAGCCCAGAACAAGAGUCAUUUCUGAGCCACUCCGAGAGCCACAGCUCUGAACUACUUGGAACCUGCCCAUCCAUUUAGUUGGCAGAGAUUUGUUAGGUGGAAGUCGUGCUUGCACUGCCUCUGCGAUGCUACCGCGGGUUUCUGUUUCCCAGUCCCCUGCCCCAGUACAAAACUGCCUUAUGAUUUCGGUGGCUUUCCAGUGGCUAUAGGACCAUCUGCAUGGGCGGCCUCAGUCUGUUGGGCUGUUCUCAAAGGAGUCAUUGACUGUUUCUUCAGUCCUCCCACUGGUCCUCGAAGCCAUAACCAAACCUGUGCUAAAUUCCGUUCUGAUUUAACUAGCUAAAGUGAAUUCUGUUUCCAGCAAGUGAGCUCUGACCAUACAAAGUUUGGAAUUUAGACGUGGGCUGCUGCCCUAAAAGAUGUUAAUGGACACUUCCUUGAUUUAGCAGUCCAAGCAGCUGGUGACAAGGGCAGGUCUAACAGUGUGGGAGGCUGGAAACCCUUGUCAUUGGGCGUCCGAGUAUUUGAUGGUCGCCUACAGGGCCCUGCGGGGCAGAUUGCAUACUGCGGGAGCCUCUAGUGGCAGGUUCAAGGGUGGACAACUUCAUAAUGCUGUAGGCUGGUUGCUUCUGCUACUUUCAGCGAAGUUUUACCAGAGAAAGAUGAACUACAUGUACAUCUGCAAAAAUAAAUGAAAAGAACGUGUCUGUUAAGGAAAGGACAGCAAUCUAAAGCUCCAGCAGAGUGUCUCACCUGCGGCAGGGAAGCCAAAAUAUUUGUGACCCUAAUAAUUUGGUGCCUUGCAGUGUUGAAAAAGCCAGUUGUGUCUGUACUUUCUCACUUAAGAGUUAUAAGAGUUUGCUCUGGGCAGCCCUGGUGGCGCAGUGGUUUGGUGCCGCCUGCAGCCUGGGGUGUGAUCCUGGAGACCUGGGAUCGAGUCCCAAUCGGGCUCCCUGCAUGGAGCCUGCUUCUCCCUCUCCCUGUGUCUCUGCCUCUCUCUGUGUGUCUAUGAAUAAAUAAAAAAAAAUCUUUAAAAAAAAAAGUUUGCUCUGAAGGAGCGAGCACUGUCGCCCCAACUAUUUACAAGCACCUCCCAAAAAAGCAUUGGGAGCUGGACGUGAGAACCGGCCCAGCAGCGGAGAUGAGGCUGGGGUGUUGCCCUCCCCCGCAGGAGCCUCGUUUCAGCACGUGGUGGUGGCCACCUGCACUAAUUUGCUAGGGCUGCUCUCACAAAGUAGUGCAAACGGAGUGGCUUGAUCAGAAUUUGUUGUUUUACAUUUUAGAGGCUAGAAGUUCAAGGCAUCAGCCGGGUUGGUUUCUUCUGAGAGCAGUAAGGAAAAAUCUGUUCCAUGGCUCUCCCCUAGCUUCUGGUGCUUUACUGGCAACCUCUGGCAUUCCCUGGCUUGCGGAUGCAUCACCGAGAUCUCUACCUUCCUCUUCAAGUGACCUUCUCCAUGUAUCCACGUCUGUGUUCAAAUGUCCCCUUUUUACCAGACCAGUCAUCCUGAACCAGGGCUCACACCCUAAUGAUGUCGUUUUAACUUGUCUCCAAAUUGAUUGUCUCCAAAUAAGGUCACAUUCUGACGUACUAGGGGGUCAAGAAUCAAGCAUGUCUUUUUUGGGAGGGACAUAAUUCAACCGUAAACACCACCAUUAAGUCAAAAAGAGACUGUGCACAUCAUAGCAGCUCAUAAUUAAAACUAGGUAUUCAGAUUUUAAUAUCUAUUUAAAUUUAAUAUAAUUUAGAUAAUAUAUAAUUAAUAUCUUGUAUAUUUGUAUAUACUGCCUAGAUGAGUUCUUUGGGUUCUUGAUGAGUUCUAGAUGUCCCUAUAGCUAUUGGAGAUAUUCUCACACUGGAAGCUUAUCGAGUUGAGGAGGAAGCUCUUUGCCGCAGAAACGGUCACCCUGGCUUGCCAGAGCUUGGCUGUCAGCACAAAGCAAACCUAAGUAGCCAUACCUGCUACCUAGCCUCCUGCCACAGAAAAAAGCAGGAUGUGUAAGUUUUACAGCCUCCAGAAAGGAAGCCUCUCCAAUGGCCAGUUCAGAUGCGGUCACGGAGUCUCCCGGGUAAGGAGGAGCCUCCAAGAGAACAAAGCCAGGGGUCAUGGAUACACGAGAGGAGCCAGAGGCCAACCUGGAAAAUUGCAGCUAAGUCUCUAGCCAGGGCCGCGGGCCUGGAGACUCCCACCGGGCACUAUAUUUUUCUGCACUUUCUGUUAUAGCCGUCCUGUUCCUACUCUGCCUCUGGGUGGUGCACACCUCUGUGCCUGUGUGUGGCUGUCGUUGGACACACGGGGGUAACUCACCUGGCACUUCCUGGGUCACUUGUGCACAUCUGGACUCGCUGGGGAGGACUUGGAAUCGCUCAGAGGCCCUGGCCUUGAACAGGUGCAGUCUCCAAUGGGACUUGGAGGUCUUCCCUCGUAGGUAAGCCACGAAUUACUCUGGGGAAAAGGGCGUUUGCGGGUCUCAUAGAUAAAAACAGUCCCCAGCAGAUGCUAGCCGUCCUCCAGUGCUGCUCUCCCCCUUUCUCUUAAUCUUUGGUGGUGGAACCUGUGAUUUUUUACUGGCGCUCAAGAGCCUCCGAAUAAAGGCUAUGUCCAAGCCUCCCGCGCAGCUGUGGCUCAGCUGUGAGGCAGUUCUCGCCAGUCAGGUCUGUGUUGAGCUAUCGGACGGCGGGAGGCCGUGGAGGAAGCCAUGGAGGAGGCUGAGGAGGCCGGGCACAGCGCUGCCUGCGGUAGCUCCCCGGGGGAGGCGGCCUUGGCGAGCCUGGCGGAGGCCAAGGGCUUUUACAGCCGCAGCCUCCCAAACGGCAGGUACGUCCUGAAUCUAGAAGAGGCAGCGGGGCCCGUGGUGGCCCCAUUUUCCAGUGUGAGGCCCGAAUCUGUGUUCAGGAGCAAAUUCCUUUUGUAUGUAAAAGAGCAGAGAGAUCGUGUUUACUGCAGCUGAACGUGUUCAAUACUGAUUGAAAUUUUAUUUUUCUCAUUUUAUGGAUGAACAGACUAAGGCUUAGGGCCGGGAGUAAGCCAGCAAACCUCCUCUCUGUGGGGAAGGAAGGGCCCCGUUUGUGGCAUUUGCCAGCAUCUGUGCUACCGUGGCGUGUGUGAGCCUCAAAGGGUUGAAACACUUGUAGGCAAAACUCCUGAACAUUGAACAACUGGCUCCCAUUAGCUGCCUCCUGCUCCAAGCCGACGCUGCUUGGAGAACGUAACUGUCCCCAGGAACCACAUCAGCAAGUAUUCAAUAAAAAGAUUAAAAAUAUGUGGUACUUAUUCUGCCUGAAAAAUCAUUAUGCCUUGUUGAGAGCAUUUGGGGCUCCACCUCAGUACUGAACAGAAUUUACAGCACAUGGUAGGUUCCACGUCUUCACUUCAGAGACUUCGCUAGGGAGCUUUGAGGCAGUAGUGGAGGACAGAGUAUCUAAAAGCUUUUGGUAGAAUUUGGAUGGGCAGUCAUUGCCAUUAUUGUUACAUGCACGGGACAAAAGGGAUUUAAACAGCCUGAAACUGUCAAAGUGGCAGAUGGGACUUAAGAAGGGAGGGAAAUAAUUCAUAAAUUGGUAUGUGGAAAGUUGAUGCUCCUUAAUCAAAACUGCAGUGUGGUCUCACGUCACACCUGUCAGAAAGGCUAGACUCAGCAACACAAGAAACACAGGUGUUGGAGAUGAUGUGAGAAAGGGGAGCCCUCCUGCUCUGUUGGUGGGAACGCAAACGGGCGCAGCCACUCUGGAGAACGGUGUGGAGGCUCCUCAAGAAGUUGCAAAUAGAGCCACUGUAGGGUACAGAAAUCACACUACUGGGUGUUUACCCACAGGAUACAAAAACAGUAAUUCAAAGGGAUACAUGGACCCCUGUGUUCACUGCAGCAUGAUUUACAAUGGCCAAGAUACAGAAGCAGCCCAAGUGUCCAUUGACUGAUGAAUGAAGAUGAGCAUAAUGGAACACACACACACACUGGAUUAUUAUUCAGCCAUUUUAAAAAAGAAUGAAAUCUUGCCAUUUGCAAUGACACGAAUGGACCUGAAGAGUAUUAUGCUAAGUGAAAUAAGUCCAAAAGACAAACACCAUAUGAUUUUACUCAUAUGUGGAAUUUAAGAAACAAAACAAAUGAGCAAAGGGUGAAAAAAGGUGCAAAGCAAGAAAUAGACUCCUAAAUGCCCCUGCUGGUUACCAGAGUGGGGUGGGGGUGGGAUGGGAGUGAAACAGGUGGUGGGGAUGAGGAGAGCACUUGCUGUGAUGAGCACCGGGUGAUGUGGGGAA
Molecule: long non-coding RNA, 6992 nt
Organism: Nyctereutes procyonoides (raccoon dog)
Lineage: Eukaryota; Metazoa; Chordata; Mammalia; Carnivora; Canidae
Exons: 3
Source: RefSeq, a predicted model, not a curated record